GGUGCAUGUCACUUUGGGUUCCGCAUACUGUGUACAGCCCCAAAGGAGAGGUGAGGAGAGGAAAGGACACAUCACUAGUAGUGGACCCAAGGAUCAUGGAGUGUUUUGGCCAUUAUCACAAAACACCCUCACCUGAGGAAGGCCCUGCCGAGGUUGAUCAAGCCCUGGAGUGUGUCCCAUAUCCAACUGGAGUCUUGUUGCUGAGAGCUAAAGUUGGACUUCCUGUGUCACAGGAAGUAGGAAGUGGGUAGAUGGCCAGCAGUGUUGACCGCAUGGUGAGUGACUUUCAUGAGCUCUCUAAAAUUUUGAUGAAAACUCUUCAAAAUGUGUAGUGAACCUUUUGAAACUUGUGUGUAGUAGCUUUAUCUCAAGUCUGCAAGUUGUUUUCAAUUUAUUACGCUUGUUAAAUAGAUUGAAAUUUGGAACUUGAAGCAGGUUGACUUUUGAAAUUCAGUGUUAAUUUUGGGGCACUUUCUGGUGACCCAGAAUUAUGACAAAAUUUGACAGACAUAUUUGGUAGGACGCUCUCUCUCAGCCAGAAGGGGGUUGCAACUCUCUAGAACAUUGUAUGGCCAAACAGGGCUGAAAUAGUAUGGGGAUUAGGCUUCCUUUGACUUAAUAUUCUGACCUCUUGACAUGUCAGCGCCACCACU
This is a long non-coding RNA of Xiphias gladius (swordfish), 653 nucleotides long. RefSeq lists it as uncharacterized. The record is from RefSeq and is a predicted model, not a curated record. NCBI's taxonomy places the organism in Eukaryota, Metazoa, Chordata, Actinopteri, Istiophoriformes, Xiphiidae. The transcript has 3 exons.